GAUGAANCGCUAGCGGCAGGCUUAACACAUGCAAGUCGAGGGGUAGAGGGUGCUUGCAUCCUUGAGACCGGCGCACGGGUGCGUAACGCGUAUGCAACCUACCUUGAACAGGGGAAUAGCCCAGAGAAAUUUGGAUUAAUGCCCCAUGGUAUUUAGAAGCGGCAUCGCUUUUUCAUUAAAGAUUUAUCGGUUCAAGAUGGGCAUGCGUCCCAUUAGUUAGUUGGUAAGGUAACGGCUUACCAAGACGAUGAUGGGUAGGGGUCCUGAGAGGGAGAUCCCCCACACUGGUACUGAGACACGGACCAGACUCCUACGGGAGGCAGCAGUGAGGAAUAUUGGUCAAUGGGCGCAAGCCUGAACCAGCCAUGCCGCGUGCAGGAUUAAGGCCCUAUGGGUUGUAAACUGCUUUUGUACGGGAAGAAACA
Molecule: ribosomal RNA, 425 nt
Filed under: soil bacterium 8V-02
Lineage: Bacteria
Description: bacterial SSU rRNA
Rfam family: Bacterial small subunit ribosomal RNA
Source: RNAcentral